This is an RNA transcript of Cucumis sativus (cucumber), 2452 nucleotides long. It is a transcript of the gene named endonuclease V, with no coding region annotated. The transcript has 9 exons. The record is from RefSeq and is a predicted model, not a curated record. NCBI's taxonomy places the organism in Eukaryota, Viridiplantae, Streptophyta, Magnoliopsida, Cucurbitales, Cucurbitaceae.
UUUAGCAUUUUUCUCUCACUCCAUUUCCAACAACGGGUCUUUAUCCUCGUGGUGAAAUUAGAUUUCAACUUUAUUUUAAAUUCAAAACUUUCCAUUGGAGAUAAAGUGAACUGAGAGAGAACUACACAAAAAAAACUUAUAUACAUUCUUUUAAAUUUCACAAAGCAAAUGUAUGACUUUGUUUAGGCAUCACUUAAACGAACAUUCCUAGAACUAAAACAACGGUUUGAAUCUUACGUUUUAGAGGUCGAGUCCACCUAAACUCAUUUGUUGAUCAAUUUUUCUCUAAGCGGCCGUUGAUCAAUUUGCCGGCACCGAACGGUUACAACGCGUCGGCGUUAUUACAGUUAUCAUAUUGAUCGCAGAAUUUUCAGGUUUAGACGAUGUCCGAAGAAGAGAAACAAGUGAAACCGUAUUCCGAGGCGUCAACGACUUCCUCGGUUGAAAUUCAGAAUUGGAUAGAAGCGCAAGAUUUGCUGAAGAAGAAACUGAUCAAAGAAGAUGAUUUGGAAGGGAACGGGGAUGAUUUGAAGUACGUCGGCGGCGUUGAUAUAAGCUUCUUAAAGGAAGAUUCGUCAGUUGCGUGUGGUACGCUCGUGGUUAUGGAUCUUCAAACUCUUCAAGUUGUCUAUGAUGAUUUCUCUCUUGCUACUGUUCAAGUUCCUUAUGUCCCUGGCUUUCUCGCAUUUAGAGAGGCCCCAGUUCUCUUGGAGCUUUUGGAAAGGAUGAAAAAGAGAGCUCCUCUUUUGUAUCCACAGUUAUUGAUGGUUGAUGGCAACGGAAUACUCCAUCCUCGAGGUUUUGGUUUGGCCAGUCAUCUCGGCGUUCUUGCUAAUUUGCCUACAAUUGGAAUUGGCAAGAAUCUGCAUCAUGUUGAUGGUCUUACCCAGUCCAGCGUGAGGCAACUUCUUUCCGACGGCAAAAAUAACGAUUCUAUAAUAACUUUGAAGGGCAUCUCUGGAUGCAUUUGGGGCUAUGAGAUCUACUGUUGAUUCAUUGAAGCCUAUAUAUGUUUCAAUUGGUCAUCGUGUUUCGCUUGAUACUGCCAUCAGGAUUGUUAAAAUCACUUGCACAUUUCGUGUUCCAGAACCUAUCCGACAGGCUGACAUUAGAUCAAGAGAAUACCUCAGGAAAUUUCAAAUGGGAAUGUUAAAAAGAACAACUUCAUAGCAAAGGUGAUUGCCUAAUUGGUGUUGUCUUUGAUUGAACCCAUCAGAUCAGAUACAAAGACUCACCAAAUUGCUGCAAGAAAGGUGGAGCAGAUGAAAACAUUGAAAGCUGCUCUCGGGUUGGGCACAUUGGACGAUAGUAAACAGGUUAAAGAAGAGAUUUCUGACAUGAAUGAGUUAACAAUUGCUUGAACUACAAAAGCCAUCAACCAGGAUGUAGGAAGGGACAAUGAAUGAAAUGCCCCUCUCCUGUAAGUCGAGCUGCUUCGCCCCUAUAUUCUAAUCUUUAUCUUGUGCAUGCACCGAUUGAAAGACAGAUGAUUCUACUUCCUUUGUUUGGGGGAAAAAGAUGAUGACCUGCCAGCGGACUGGACUUCUGGUCGAGCAGCCGAUUAAGAUUCGCGCCAAAACGUCUUCCUUUUGAUCUUCUGCCUUCGUGUAUGUUCCCACUCAUAGGUAAGGAAUUCCACUUGUCUUCUUUUCUUUCCUCCCGGUAGUCUUUGUAUUAAUUUCAUAUGUGAAACAAAUCUUCCUUACUUUCUUCAGCGAAACCUCGGCUUUCUCUUUCUUCCUUUUAGUAGGCGUAGUCGGCUCUCAAUUACGUCUUUUAGCCACUUUUCUUAUCAAUGAGAGGAAUAGAAGAGAGGACCAGAAUGCCAUGAGAAGUCUGAAUACUCUUUUUUGGAAGAUAAUUUAAUUGAAAAAAAACAUGGCGUUGAAAAAAAAUAACAUUUUCCCACACGGGUUCUGUUGAGAGUAAAGGAACCAAGAAGAAGCGCUUGAUUGCCGAUCAUCCUCUUUCAACCAAGUGGGAAUAGGAGAUUAAGUAUAAUGCUUAGCUUAGACAGGUUUCUUUGUACUCUUUCAUCCUAGUGAUGGUGGAACUGAGAAUGAAGAUCGAACUCUCAGUCUGAUUCAAGAUCUUCUCUUUUGAUUGUCAUCCUUUGAUUUGAAUGACCAAUCGAUGAACUGAAUUCAUAUGGCUAGUAUGUAUUCUUUCCAUCAGUAGUCUGCGUGCAAGAUAGAAGAGUUGGCCGAGCAGUAGAGGCCUCACCCUCUUCAUGCGGAUCAACAGGACCAUAAUCUACAUCGAGGUUGACCCGACUAACCUUUUGAGUUUUAGAGAUUAAUUUUGUAAUUAAUUAAAAACUAUAGUAAACGACAAACUCAUUGACUUAUAGUUGAUGUAAAGAAUAUCAUGCAGUGAUACAAUUUCGUAUUCUUUUGAUGAAACAUUUCAAGGUAUUAGGUUAAAUUUUUGAAGUGUAUAGUUUGAUUCUUCA